Molecule: long non-coding RNA, 1143 nt
Organism: Oncorhynchus tshawytscha (Chinook salmon)
Lineage: Eukaryota; Metazoa; Chordata; Actinopteri; Salmoniformes; Salmonidae
Source: Ensembl
CCUGGACCCAUAGAGAGUCAUUCUGUUCCCCUUUAUAGUGUGUUAACCUGGACCCAUAGAGAGUCAUUCUGUUCCCCUUAUAGAGUGUUAACCUGGACCCAUAGAGAGUCAUUCUGUUCCCUUUAUAGAGUGUUAACCUGGACCCAUAGAGAGUCAUUCUGUUCCCCUUUAUAGAGUGUUAACCUGGACCCAUAGAGAGUCAUUCUGUUCCCCUUUAUAGUGUGUUAACCUGGACCCAUAGAGAGUCAUUCUGUUCCCCUUUAUAGUGUGUUAACCUGGACCCAUAGAGAGUCAUUCACAGGGUGAUUAAUAGGAGAAACACAAUGCUAGAUUAAGAUGUAUAUAGAUGAUUAGGUGUCUGGUCUAUUCAGGGCUCUGGUUAAAAGUAGUGCACUAUAUAGGGAAUAGGGCUGUAGUAUAAAGUAGUGCACUAUAUAGGGAAUAGGGCUGUAGUAUAAUGUUGUGCACUAUAUAGGGAAUAGGGCUCUGGUCUAAAGUAGUGCACUAUCUAGGGAAUAGGGCUCUGGUCUAAAGUAGUGCACUAUAUAUGGAAUAAGGCUCUGGUCUAAAGUAGUGCACUAUAUAGGGAAUAGGGCUCUGGUCUAAAGUAGUGCACUAUAUAUGGAAUAGGGCUCUGGUCUAAAGUAGUGCCCUAUAUAGGGAAUAGGGCUCUGGUCUAAAGUAGUGCACUACAUGGUGAAUAAGGGGCCAUAUUGGAUACAGCCUCUAUGUGAGUUUGGUUGGGCACAAGCCUGGGCCUGUGUGUGAAGUAGUGCACUAUAUAGUGAAUAAGGGGCCAUAUUGGACACAAGCCUGGGCCUGUGUGUAAAGUAGUGCACUAUAUAGUGAAUAAGGGGCCAUAUUGGACACAAGCCUGGCCCUGUGUGUAAAGUAGUGCACUAUAUAGUGAAUAAGGGGCCAUAUUGGACACAAGCCUGGCCCUGUGUGUAAAGUAGUGCACUAUAUAGUGAAUAAGGGGCCAUAUUGGACACAAGCCUGGGCCUGUGUGUAAAGUAGUGCACUAUAUAGUGAAUAAGGGGCCAUAUUGGACACAAGCCUGGGCCUGUGUGUAAAGUACUUCUGCAUUCUAAAGUGUUGGUAUUCCAGCAUCUUGUAUCUUUUAAUAAAGGUGAUUUAAUCAGC